Molecule: ribosomal RNA, 809 nt
Filed under: Bifidobacterium sp.
Lineage: Bacteria; Bacillati; Actinomycetota; Actinomycetes; Bifidobacteriales; Bifidobacteriaceae
Description: bacterial SSU rRNA
Rfam family: Bacterial small subunit ribosomal RNA
Source: RNAcentral
GUAAUGCGUGACCGACCUGCCCCGUACACCGGAAUAGCUCCUGGAAACGGGUGGUAAUGCCGGAUGUUCCAGUUGAUCGCAUGGUCUUCUGGGAAAGAUUUUAUCGGUAUGGGAUGGGGUCGCGUCCUAUCAGGUAGUCGGCGGGGUAACGGCCCACCGAGCCUAUGACGGGUAGCCGGCCUGAGAGGGCGACCGGCCACAUUGGGACUGAGAUACGGCCCANNCUCCUACGGGAGGCAGCAGUGGGGAAUAUUGCACAAUGGGCGCAAGCCUGAUGCAGCGACGCCGCGUGCGGGAUGACGGCCUUCGGGUUGUAAACCGCUUUUGAUUGGGAGCAAGCGAGAGUGAGUGUACCUUUNNAAUAAGCACCGGCUAACUACGUGCCAGCAGCCGCGGUAAUACGUAGGGUGCAAGCGUUAUCCGGAAUUAUUGGGCGUAAAGAGCUCGUAGGCGGUUCGUCGCGUCUGGUGUGAAAGUCCAUCGCUUAACGGUGGAUCUGCGCCGGGUACGGGCGGGCUGGNGUGCGGUAGGGGAGACUGGAAUUCCCGGUGUAACGGUGGAAUGUGUAGAUAUCGGGAAGAACACCAAUGGCGAAGGCAGGUCUCUGGGCCGUUACUGACGCUGAGGAGCGAAAGCGUGGGGAGCGAACAGGAUUAGAUACCCUGGUAGUCCACGCCGUAAACGGUGGAUGCUGGAUGUGGGGCCCUUUCCACGGGUCCCGUGUCGGAGCCAACGCGUUAAGCAUCCCGCCUGGGGAGUACGGCCGCAAGGCUAAAACUCAAAGAAAUUGACGGGGGCCCGNNCAAGCG